AUGAAUAGCAUUCACAACAAAGCUCAAGAGAAGUACAAUUUAUUUGUGGCACCCCAACCAUCAAUUGAUAACAUUAUGGUGAGGGUGGAUAAAGAGGAUUUGUGUAUGUACAAGGCUAGGCUGACUUAUUCACUUAGAUGCUUGAGGUUUCUUUUGAACCAAGGAUUGGCAUUUCGUGGACAUGAUGAGUGUGAAGAAUCUAGCAAUAGGGGGAACUUUCUUGAACUUCUUAAAUGGCUUUCGGAAAAUGAUGAAGUUAAUAAACUUGUUUUGAACAAUGCUCCUAGGAAUUGCAUCUUGACUAGUCGAAAGAUACAAAAUCAAAUAAUUGAAUGUUGUGCGACGCAAACAACUAAAAGAAUUAUUGAAGAUAUUGGUGAUGACCACUAUGCAAUCCUAGCCGAUGAGUCUAGUGAUGCAUCUCAUAAAGAACAACUUGCUCUCUGCAUACGAUUUGUUGACAAAUCGGGAAGAGGAUGUGAGAGGUUCCUUGGAGUUGUUCAUGUUGCCAAUACAACUUCAUUGUCACUUAAGGAUGCAAUUCAAACUUUGCUUAAAGAUCAUCAUUUGACUCCUAGUCAAAUACAUGGGCAAGGAUAUGAUGGGGCUAGCGACAUGAAAGGGGAGAUCAAAGGGUUGAAAACAUUGAUCAUGAAAGAGUCACCCUCUGCCUAUUACAUCCAUUGUUUUGCACAUCAACUUCAGUUGGUUCUCAUAGCUGUGGCAAAGGACAAUGAACCAUGUUUGUGGUUCUUUGAUCACGUUUCUUACUUGCUCAAUAUUGUUGGAGUUUCUUGUAAGCGCCACGACAUGCUUCGAGAUGUUAGAGUUCAAAAGGUGUUGGAAGCACUUGAAAUGGGUGAGAUUGAAAGUGGAAGUGGGCUAAAUCAAGAGAUGGGACUAGCUAGACCCGGCGACACUCGUUGGGGUUCUCAUUUUAAAACCAUUAUGCACAUUGUUAGCAUGUAUUCCACAAUCCUUGAAGUACUUGAUGCUAUUGGAAAAGAUCCUUCACAAAAAGGUGAGUGGACAAGAAUACGUGGAGUUGCUCAAGCCUUUGAAUCAUUUGACUUUGUUUUCAAUCUUCACUUGAUGCUUGUUAUUCUUGGCUAUACAAAUGAGUUGUCCAAAUCUUUGCAAAAGAGAGAUCAAGAUAUUGUCAAUGCAAUGACACUUGUUAGUUUGGCAAAGAGUAGAAUGCAACACAUGAGGUCUCAUGGUUGGGAAGAUUUUCUUGCAAAGCUAACCUUAUUUUGCAACAAACAUGACAUUCAAGUUCCUUUGUGGGAGGAUAUUUAUGAGCCUAAUCGAAGAUCACGUCGGUAUUAUGAAGUACAAACAAAUGAUGAUCGUUACAGAAGAGAAGUAUAUCUUGGUGUCAUUGAUCAAACCAUUCAAGAGCUUGACAAUCGGUUUGAUGAGGUUAAUACGGAGUUGCUUAUUUGCAUGUCAGCUUUGAAUCCCCUCAAUUCAUUUGCUUCUUAUGAUGCACUCAAGGUAAUGAGACUUGUUGAAUUCGAUCCCAUGGACAUUUCAAGCACGUCGGUAUUAAAGAAGCAUGUUCUUUAUGAUUUGGUCUACUUACUCAUCAAAUUGAUAUUGAUUUUACCGGUGGUGACGGCGAGUGUUGAAAGAGUGUUUUUCAGCAAUGAAUCUAGUGAAAAAUAA
Molecule: ribosomal RNA, 1668 nt
Filed under: Triticum aestivum (bread wheat)
Lineage: Eukaryota; Viridiplantae; Streptophyta; Magnoliopsida; Poales; Poaceae
Description: partial small subunit ribosomal RNA
Source: RNAcentral